Molecule: ribosomal RNA, 747 nt
Filed under: Triticum aestivum (bread wheat)
Lineage: Eukaryota; Viridiplantae; Streptophyta; Magnoliopsida; Poales; Poaceae
Description: partial small subunit ribosomal RNA
Source: RNAcentral
CAAGAGGAUGAAAACGUAAACUGGAGAUCAUUCAACAUUGAUGGUCUAAACAAGUUCACAGAGGCUGAGAUUAAAAGGAUCACUGACAACUAUAGCACUCUCAUUGGCAAAGGUAGCUUUGGAGAAGUUUACCUUGGCGUUCUUGACGAUUGUACUCAGGUUGCAGUCAAGAUUCCACUCACAGAUAUGAAGGAACAUUUUGCCAAGGAAAUAAUCAUACAUUGCCAAAUCAACCACAAGAACGUUGUUAGGCUCUUGGGCUACUGUUCAGAGGAAAAUGCUUUAAUGAUGAUCACCGAGUACAUCUCCGGAGGAAGCCUCAGAGAAGUUCUCGGUUGCAAAGACUAUCCCAUUUCUUUAGAUCAAAGGUUGGGUAUUGCUCUAGACUGUGCAAAGGCAUUAAGCUACAUGCAUUCUUCCAUGUGUCCACCAACCAUUCAUGGUGAUUUCAAGCCUGGUAACAUCCUUUUAGAUGAUAACUUUGGUGCGAAAUUAUACGACUUCGGGAUAUCCAGAAUGUUUUCCAAGGACAGCACUCAAUACACAGUGAAUGUAAUAGGCAGCAUAGGUUACCUUGAUCCGUUGUUUGCUAAGACUGGGUGCAUCGAUCCGAAGAGUGAUGUUUACAGUUUUGGGGUCGUUUUAGUAGAACUAGUCACGAGAAAAAAGGCAUAUGAAAACGGGAGCAUGGGCCUCAUAGAAACUUUCGUCCAAGCUGUUCGAAAAGGAACGAAGGCAAGAGAGAUG